UACGGAGGAUGCAAGCGUUAUCCGGAUUUAUUAGGUUUAAAGGGUGUGUAGGCGGAUGUAUAAGUCAGUGGUGAAAGUCAGCAGCUUAACUGUAGAAUUGCCAUUGAUACUGUAUGUCUUGAGUGUGGUUGAGGUAUGCGGAAUGUGUAAUGUAGCGGUGAAAUGCAUAGAUAUUACACAGAACACCGAUUGCGAAGGCAGCAUGCUAAGCCACAACUGACGCUGAUGCACGAAAGCGUGGGGAUCGAACAGG
RNAcentral lists this ribosomal RNA (253 nucleotides) under uncultured prokaryote. RNAcentral describes it as "partial 16S ribosomal RNA". It matches the Rfam family "Bacterial small subunit ribosomal RNA", at positions 524 to 776 of the family's 1533-position model. The record is from RNAcentral.